This 83-nucleotide transfer RNA is filed under the name Opitutia bacterium. Its description in RNAcentral is "tRNA-Leu". It matches the Rfam family "tRNA". Rfam says of the family: Transfer RNA (tRNA) molecules are approximately 80 nucleotides in length. Their secondary structure includes four short double-helical elements and three loops (D, anti-codon, and T loops). The record is from RNAcentral. Lineage: Bacteria; Pseudomonadati; Verrucomicrobiota; Opitutia. RNAcentral also lists the same sequence under 2 other names.
GCCCGAGUGGCGGAAUUGGUAGACGCUGCGGACUUAAAAUCCGUUUUCCAUUGGAAGUGAGGGUUCAAGUCCCUCCUCGGGCA